GUUUAACCGCCAACAGCUGCAACAAUGAACUAACACUGUAUCAAGUCUCGCAAAGAGGCAGUGAUCCAGGACAACAAUCACAGUUCUCUUUUGGUCAGAAUUCACCAGAAAGCAAUCAGGCUCAUGAUGACUUUAGGAGUUACAUCAAGCAUUUUGAGAAAGAUACAAAUAAAGAUGUGUUCAACUCAGACAGUACCACCGCCUUUUAUGAUGCAAAUGAGUACAAAUUGCAAGCUCAUACAGAAAGC
This 248-nucleotide unclassified non-coding RNA is filed under the name Hevea brasiliensis (rubber tree). Lineage: Eukaryota; Viridiplantae; Streptophyta; Magnoliopsida; Malpighiales; Euphorbiaceae. The record is from RNAcentral.